AUGUAUAUAUGUAUAUAUGUGUGUGUAUGUAUAUAUGUAUAUAUGUGUGUGUAUGUGUGUAUAUACACACAAAUACACUCAUAUAUACACACACACAUACAUACACAUACAUAUAUACAUAUGUGUGU
This is a non-coding RNA of Pelobates cultripes (western spadefoot toad), 128 nucleotides long. The record is from the annotation of a GenBank genome assembly. NCBI's taxonomy places the organism in Eukaryota, Metazoa, Chordata, Amphibia, Anura, Pelobatidae.